UCCAUCAUUCGAACAACACGCAAUGUAUUCCGCCAAAGGAAGCAGCGCACCGUACAAUGGCGAAAAACAAAAGAAGGAAUGUAACGCUAUUUCGGUGGAGCAUCUUGUUCUAUUCCCAUCAAUCUCCGGACAUGUCGGAAAUACAACGCUUUAUAUACUGGCUUCGAGUUAAAGCGGCUA
Molecule: long non-coding RNA, 180 nt
Organism: Pogonomyrmex barbatus (red harvester ant)
Lineage: Eukaryota; Metazoa; Arthropoda; Insecta; Hymenoptera; Formicidae
Source: RefSeq, a predicted model, not a curated record